CUGUCCUUAAAAAGUAUGGGUCCUCAAAACAGCACUUGUUGCAGAAAUAAGUGUAGAUGGCCUCUUCAAGAAAUUGAAAUUAUGUAUGAUCACUUUUUCUUAUUGUUUCACGUGGAGGUCUACUGACCUUGUCUAAAUAAUGUAGGCUAGUUUAUGUCCAUGUAUUAUAUUAGGACCCAAGGUUAAUGGGUUAUUCUAUUUGCCAUGUUUUCACAGGCUGCUGUCUCAUAAUAUGGCGAAGACGAGUCACCUGAAGGCCUAACUCGCCAUAGAAGACUGAAAGAAUGUAAGAUUAACUUCUUUGUGACCAAUAUGACUUGCUCAUUGAUACAUUUGCUAUGUCAAUAUGAGGUGCAUGGCGAAUUAUUUAAUUUAUUUGUCUCGCUUCUAGGAGCUGUAGAAACAACAGGGUGUUCUUUUUCAGGGUAUUCUUUUUUAUAGAACUGGACAGGUCAUUUAUUCGUUCCCCUUGUUUUUUGAAGUGUCCUGCAGGAUGCUGUGUCCUGCAAUCCUGUGUGCUGUGCUACAGACGCGUGUGGAGGUCAACCCAAAAUGGGCACAGUCUCACCACAGAAGAGUGAAAGAGGAUCCUGGCAGGGAGACGGUAGUGUCCUGCAGAAUGGUGAUGGGCCAAUCUUACAAGAGACCACAGAAAACUGAUAUAGUGAACUAUAGAAACAGAGUGCCUGCUGCAGUAUGGCGAGGACACCCUGAGCAGAGAGCUCCAAUAGACCCAGGUCCAGUGUCUUGGCAGGGUGAAAUGGCACUGAUAUGGUGUCCUGCAGGAUGCUGUGUCCUGCAAUCCUGUGUGCUGUGCUACAGACGCAUCUGGAAGCCAACCUGAAAUAAGCACAGUCUCUCCACAGAGGAGUGAAAGAGGCUCCCAGAAGUGAGACUGAGUGCCUGUUGCAGUAUGACGAGGACACAGUGACCAGAGACCUUCAGUAGACCCUUCUGGCAUGAUUGGCGGCUGAAGAACAUGAAAUCAACAGCAAUGUUUAUAAUGUUGUACAUACCUGUAUAGUCUGUAUUAAAAGGCAGUACCUGUA
This is a long non-coding RNA of Engraulis encrasicolus (European anchovy), 1049 nucleotides long. RefSeq lists it as uncharacterized. The transcript is spliced from 5 exons. The record is from RefSeq and is a predicted model, not a curated record. Lineage: Eukaryota; Metazoa; Chordata; Actinopteri; Clupeiformes; Engraulidae.